This 637-nucleotide long non-coding RNA is filed under the name Androctonus crassicauda. Lineage: Eukaryota; Metazoa; Arthropoda; Arachnida; Scorpiones; Buthidae. The record is from RNAcentral.
CUACAAAGUAAUGCUUAGAAUAGAUAUAUAAAACAUAAAUUAACACAUAGAUGAGCUUGGAGCCAUCUUGAAAAACUGAAGGUGUGAGAUCCAGAAUCAAAUCUAGUCCUCCAAAGUGAUACAUGAAUUCUUUAAAAUGUCACUCUCUGGCCAAGUUUUUUUGAACUUAGUGCCAUUGUACACUUUAUGAAUAGUAGUAUAGGUUUUAUAUGCAUUAGCAAAUGAAAAAAGGUUGUGAUUUACUUUAUAGCAGAGGUCUUGAAUGUAACUGCUACAAUAACAAUGUAUAUCUGUAAAUAAUAUAUUAACCCUUUUGCUCUGUUGCCUAGAUUGGAUGGCAAGAGGGUAAUUAACAGCAUCAUACAGUUGAUGUGUAUGCACUGCAACAGUAUGGAACAGUUGGUCAUAAUUUUUGUAAAUUAUUUUUGCAAUAAUUUAAGAAAACCUUUUUUAAAUGUAAUUAUUGCAUAUUUUAGAUUAUAUUUAUUAUUAAAUGGGCAUGGCAUGCUAGCUAAGAACUCCCGCCAAUUCAUUCCCAGGAAAUUUGUUCCACCUAUUAAGCUCAGUACUUUAACUAGCUGAAAUUAAUUUAUAAAACUUAAAACUUGUUAAUUAUUUUCAAAUUAGUUCUCUCUUA